Sinocyclocheilus grahami is the source of this 267-nucleotide long non-coding RNA. RefSeq lists it as uncharacterized. NCBI's taxonomy places the organism in Eukaryota, Metazoa, Chordata, Actinopteri, Cypriniformes, Cyprinidae. The transcript has 3 exons. The record is from RefSeq and is a predicted model, not a curated record.
GUGGACAUAGUCAUUGCUACACCAGGAUGAUAAAUGAUCUGCAGAUGAGCUCAUCAACUUGCGCUCCGUCACCUAUCUGGUGUUGGAUGAAGCUGAUAGAAUGUUGGAUAUGGGCUUUGAACCUCAAAUCAUGAAAAUCAUUCUGGAUAUUCGACCUGACAGACAAACUGUUAUGACUAGUGCCACCUGGCCAACAGGUGUCAGCCGGCUGGCCAAGUCCUACCUGAAAGACCCCAUGAUGGUUUAUGUGGGCACCUUAGAUCUAGC